GCUGGGUGUGGUGGCACACACCUGUAAUUCCAGUGGCUUGGGAGGCUGAGACAAGAGGAUUGUGAGUUCAAAGCCAGCCUUAGCAAAUCGAGGCACUAAGCAACUCAAUGAGAACCUGUCUCUA
Molecule: small RNA, 124 nt
Filed under: Marmota monax (woodchuck)
Lineage: Eukaryota; Metazoa; Chordata; Mammalia; Rodentia; Sciuridae
Source: RNAcentral